CAGCAGCCGCGGUAAUACGUAGGUCCCGAGCGUUGUCCGGAUUUAUUGGGCGUAAAGCGAGCGCAGGCGGUUAGAUAAGUCUGAAGUUAAAGGCUGUGGCUUAACCAUAGUACGCUUUGGAAACCGUUUAACUUGAGUGCAGAAGGGGAGAGUGGAAUUCCUAGUGUAGCGGUGAAAUGCGUAGAUAUUAGGAAGAACACCAGUGGCGAAAGCGGCUCUCUGGUCUGUAGCUGACGCUGAGGCUCGAAAGCGUGGGUAGCGAACAGGAUUAGAUACCCGUGUAGUCCCUGUCUCUUAUACA
RNAcentral lists this ribosomal RNA (301 nucleotides) under uncultured bacterium. RNAcentral describes it as "partial 16S ribosomal RNA". It matches the Rfam family "Bacterial small subunit ribosomal RNA", at positions 509 to 808 of the family's 1533-position model. The record is from RNAcentral.